Dicentrarchus labrax (European seabass) is the source of this 2076-nucleotide long non-coding RNA. RefSeq lists it as uncharacterized. NCBI's taxonomy places the organism in Eukaryota, Metazoa, Chordata, Actinopteri, Moronidae. The record is from RefSeq and is a predicted model, not a curated record. The transcript has 3 exons.
UUUCUCAUUGUGAUGGGUAUGUAGCUGGUUAGUUGGUUUUGCUAUUUAGAGUUUUGCACAAUAAGGAUUUGAACCCUAAAGGAUAAACAGGAUAUACUGUACAGAACAAUAGAUGUUAACCUACUGGAAAUCAAUUCAGAGCCACACAAUUGUCACAGUGUUUAACAACUGACAGGAUAACAAAAAGCUGCUGACCUGUACACACAGUGUAGACAUUUCCAGACAAACAUGGACUUUUUAAAUAAUAGAAACAGUCAGUCAUGUAGCAGACGCGCACACAUCUGCUUCAUUAAUUAAUCUGCAUAUCUAAUAUUUUGUGUUUCAUGUCUGCAGCUGGUAUGAACUUGUGAGAGGUUUGGGUGCAAACCUGGCUGGAUCAGGACAGUAUAUAAGGUGUUCAUCAACAGAUAGUUCCUCCCUCACUGAAAGACCUCUCCUCUCUUUAAUUACCUCCAGUGAAAGGGUUUUAGGGUUAUACGAGCAAGAGCACUUUGUUGUGUCUCUUGUUUCGUCAGGGUCUUUAAUUCUGUGUGGGUGAAGAAGAAAAGCUGUUCACAAGAAGAGCAAUUUAAUUGUUUGUGUUUUGAUGAGGAGAAAGAGGGCAAUUGUGUAAUACUUUAUAUUAAAGCCCAAGAAUGUAGUGAAAUUUUGUUUUGCUGUACAUAUGAGGUAAAUGCUUACCAGUCGAACAAGUCGAAAAAUCGAAAAGGGAAAACAAGAGACUUGGAAAGAAUGGUUAAUAAUUCUCAUUUACACAAAAACCUUUUUUAUAAUCAGAUACCUAUAAAACAUUUGCAGGAUGCAGUAAUAUCACCACUAACAAAACUAAAAGUGUGGGGAAAAUGAGGUAGCAAUACUGACAUUCUGAUAUACGUCAACAGUAGCUAUGGUAUAUAUUCAAAAAUUGUAAAGAAAAAAUAGUUUGACAAAUAAUCCCAACUCAAGGUCCACUUGCUAGCUUUUUUCCAAAGCCUUUAAUCAUGUCACAUGGUUUUUAAGUCAAAGUCAAAGUCAAGAAUGACCUUAGCAAAGAUAAAACUUGGGAAACAAAUGUUAGUUUUUGGUAGGUACUGUGAUUAAGUGUAUGGUGUGUAAAUAUUAGUUUGUUUUUAAUUACCUAAGGGGUACAUUAAUGUUGUUACCAGGAAACAAUUUUAAAUUAAAACACGUCUUUGGUGUCAAUGUUUUGUUGUGGUACGGCAUGUGUGCAUUCUUGAAGUUGUUAUUGGGAAACAAAACAAGAAGUCUGGGGAAAAAAGGGUAUUGAUGAAUCUAUAAUGCUGUUUGGUUAUAAAAUGAGGAACUUACUAAAUAUACUAUGAUAAUGGGGGAGAUUCUGAAGGAAGCUUGUGCAAAUAUAGUUGCCCAAACACACACGUGUGCAGGAUAUAUGCCUGAGUAUUCGUUUGCAUACUCCUGAAGAGUGGAGGGGUUUUGUGGUUGCGUAUUUGUCCUGACAUGAUAUGGCAGUAUAGCAUCUGUUGGUGAGGGCUUAAGUUAAGUAAGAUUGUGGAGCUCUUCAGAUAUACCCCUGUAGUAUGUGUAGUGAUAGAUCAGUAAGGAGAAAAACUCAUUGUUAGGAGGCUGCUCAGGAUACUGGAGUACAAUGACACAAAAAUGAUGGCGAUUUGGGAGGGGGUCUAGAAGCAGGUCUGCCCGUCCUCCCUGAGACUCAACUGAGAUCAAUGCUAACCUGCUACUCCCAGGCGCCCCAGAUGUUACAGUAGGAGAUGUUUGUGUCUCAGAGGGGCUGCCGGCAGCAGACCAGUACAAAGCUGAUGAUCAGAUAGCGUGGCUGUGGAUUGCCCAGUUCUCCCAGCGCUGUGACAGAUUAACUGGGAUUUAGGGCUUCUAUUCGGAUUCCCCACUAAACCAACACACCGCAAGAGACAGCAAAACACAGGAGGUCAUGCAGCCAACAGCAUGCUUCCCCUGGGCUGCUGUUGCCUUGACAGUGAAGCUCCCCUGCCCCUCCAUGUUUUAUUUAAAAUUGCUUCUUAUCCUCACAUUGUUUUUGCCAGACAAGCAGUGGAGUGAUGAAUAUGACAAAAAGAAAUAAUAAAGGAACUGACCAGA